AUUGAACGCUGGCGGCAUGCUUUACACAUGCAAGUCGAACGGCAGCACGAAAGAGCUUGCUCUUUUGGUGGCGAGUGGCGAACGGGUGAGUAAUGCAUCGGAACGUACCGAGUAAUGGGGGAUAACUAUCCGAAAGGAUAGCUAAUACCGCAUACGCUUUGAGAAGGAAAGUGGGGGCUCUUCGGACCUCACGUUAUUCGAGCGGCCGAUGUCUGAUUAGCUAGUUGGUGGGGUAAAGGCCUACCAAGGCGACGAUCAGUAGCGGGUCUGAGAGGAUGAUCCGCCACACUGGGACUGAGACACGGCCCAGACUCCUACGGGAGGCAGCAGUGGGGAAUUUUGGACAAUGGGCGCAAGCCUGAUCCAGCCAUGCCGCGUGUCUGAAGAAGGCCUUCGGGUUGUAAAGGACUUUUGUUAGGGAAGAAAAGGAUAGUGUUAAUACCAUUAUCUGCUGAC
RNAcentral lists this ribosomal RNA (456 nucleotides) under Kingella oralis. RNAcentral describes it as "bacterial SSU rRNA". It matches the Rfam family "Bacterial small subunit ribosomal RNA", at positions 30 to 473 of the family's 1533-position model. The record is from RNAcentral. Lineage: Bacteria; Pseudomonadati; Pseudomonadota; Betaproteobacteria; Neisseriales; Neisseriaceae.